This 495-nucleotide ribosomal RNA is filed under the name Cedecea davisae. Its description in RNAcentral is "bacterial SSU rRNA". It matches the Rfam family "Bacterial small subunit ribosomal RNA", at positions 85 to 576 of the family's 1533-position model. Lineage: Bacteria; Pseudomonadati; Pseudomonadota; Gammaproteobacteria; Enterobacterales; Enterobacteriaceae. The record is from RNAcentral.
CUGCUGACGAGCGGCGGACGGGUGAGUAAUGUCUGGGGAUCUGCCUGAUGGAGGGGGAUAACUACUGGAAACGGUAGCUAAUACCGCAUAACGUCGCAAGACCAAAGAGGGGGACCUUCGGGCCUCUUGCCAUCGGAUGAACCCAGAUGGGAUUAGCUAGUAGGUGGGGUAAUGGCUCACCUAGGCGACGAUCCCUAGCUGGUCUGAGAGGAUGACCAGCCACACUGGAACUGAGACACGGUCCAGACUCCUACGGGAGGCAGCAGUGGGGAAUAUUGCACAAUGGGCGCAAGCCUGAUGCAGCCAUGCCGCGUGUGUGAAGAAGGCCUUCGGGUUGUAAAGCACUUUCAGCGAGGAGGAAGGCAUUGAGGUUAAUAACCUUGGUGAUUGACGUUACUCGCAGAAGAAGCACCGGCUAACUCCGUGCCAGCAGCCGCGGUAAUACGGAGGGUGCAAGCGUUAAUCGGAAUUACUGGGCGUAAAGCGCACGCAGGC